CAGCACAUGUCCAUGUUGGGGUAAAGACGUGGAGUGGUCGUCUCGCCCAUCCGAUAUAGAGUCCAGAGGCGCAGGGCUCAUUCCCAAGGUCCCUUGGCCGACGGCGGCCGGGUCCGGCCUAGACCAGGCUCCUGUGAGGCAGCCCAGCGACUCUGUCUCCUCUGGCUCUGCCCACAGACACACUGUCACCCAAUGCUAGGAGCCACUGCUUGAGGAAGCCUGGGUUUGUCACUGCCUGCAGCCACAGACUACUCCUGCCUCAAAACGACGUCACGACACUGCAGAGCAGGCCAGCUCCAGCUGCACAUGGCCGCCUCCAUCUCUACACAACUUUGAGUCACAGAAAUGUCACGUGACCUGCAGAAGCCAAGGGUCCUCCUCCUUGGGGGUCUCUUUUACUGACUCUGUGACUCCCAGCCGGGGAUCUUCUGCCCCCAGGGGACACCGGGCCAUGUCUGGGGACAUCUGUGGUUGUCUUGACUAGGGGAGCUCCUGGCAUGGAGUGGGUGGAGGCCAGGGAUGCUGCUCGGCACCCUGCAGUGCCCAGGACGGCCCCACCCUUGAGAACGGUUCAGUCCCAAUGUCCACAGGGCCCAGGGGGAGACACCCAGCCCAACUCACAGAAGACCCAGGACAGGUGAUGGUGGUCUAUGUCAACCACCUGUUCAUGAGAGAGACACAGGGAGGAGAGGGGGCACCUGCCAACCGUUUCAUGCGCUGGUAGAGACCGGGAAUAGCUUGGACAGAUUGUUCCUGGAUAACACAAGACAGCUUCCUGUUUAAAAAACAAAACUCCGGCCCGGAGCAGGGGCUCACGCCUAUAAUCCCAGCACUUUGGGAGGCUGAGGCGGGCAGAUUACUUGAGCCCACAAGUUGGAGACCAGCCUGACUAACAUGGCGAAACCCCGUCUCUACUAAAAAUACAAAAAUUAGCUGGGUGUGGACGCAGGUGCCUGUAAUCCCAGCAACUUGGGAGGCCGAGGCAGGAGAAUCGCUUGAACCCGGGAGGCAGAGGUUGCAGUGAGCCGAGAUUGCACUACUGCACUCCAGCCUGGGCGACAGAGCAAGACUUGGUCUCAAAAACACACACAAAAAACCAAAACUCCAAGCGCAGAGCACCCAGUGCCAUCUUCGUCCGAAUGCAGCACUCCUGGCUGGGUCACGGCCACCCCUAGGCCAGUGCCUGGCCAGGGGCUUCUCUUGUCUAUGACCAGGCAGGUCACAGGCGGGAGGGACCCAGGUCAGGCUCAGCUGCUGCCCCACCGGAAACAGACCCAGCAGCCUUGCCUAGACCCCAGGUGGGUCCAGGUUUUUCUAUUGGGGCAGAGAGAGUGGGCCAGGAUGGGGGCGUCUCUCAGCUCUGCAAGCUGGAGAAUUAACUCCGGGACUUGAGCUCGGGGUCCCCGCUGGGCGCAGGCGUGGGCUCCAGCGGGAAGGAAGCCCCUCGUUGGGUUCUCAGCAUGGACAGCUGGAUGGCAUCACUGGAUUCCCUCACCUGGAUCCGGAGACAAAAGGGGAGAAAAUGAUGAGGCAGCGCCCAGGCCUGCGGGGUUGAGUCAGCCGUAAUAACAGCCUGUUGGCCCUA
Homo sapiens (human) is the source of this 1585-nucleotide long non-coding RNA. The record is from Ensembl. NCBI's taxonomy places the organism in Eukaryota, Metazoa, Chordata, Mammalia, Primates, Hominidae.